GAUGAACGCUGGCGGCGUGCCUAAUACAUGCAAGUCGAGCGAACAGACGAGGAGCUUGCUCCUCUGACGUUAGCGGCGGACGGGUGAGUAACACGUGGAUAACCUACCUAUAAGACUGGGAUAACUUCGGGAAACCGGAGCUAAUACCGGAUAAUAUAUUUAACCGCAUGGUUCAAUAGUGAAAGACGGUUUUGCUGUCACUUAUAGAUGGAUCCGCGCCGCAUUAGCUAGUUGGUAAGGUAACGGCUUACCAAGGCAACGAUGCGUAGCCGACCUGAGAGGGUGAUCGGCCACACUGGAACUGAGACACGGUCCAGGCUCCUACGGGAGGCAGCAGUAGGGAAUCUUCCGCAAUGGGCGAAAGCCUGACGGAGCAACGCCGCGUGAGUGAUGAAGGUCUUCGGAUCGUAAAACUCUGUUAUUAGGGAAGAACAAAUGUGUAAGUAACUAUGCACGUCUUGACGGUACCUAAUCAGAAAGCCACGGCUAACUACGUG
Molecule: ribosomal RNA, 497 nt
Filed under: uncultured bacterium
Lineage: Bacteria
Description: partial 16S ribosomal RNA
Rfam family: Bacterial small subunit ribosomal RNA
Source: RNAcentral